RNAcentral lists this ribosomal RNA (333 nucleotides) under Triticum aestivum (bread wheat). RNAcentral describes it as "partial small subunit ribosomal RNA". Lineage: Eukaryota; Viridiplantae; Streptophyta; Magnoliopsida; Poales; Poaceae. The record is from RNAcentral.
AUGGCGGAUCCAGUGACCAUGCUAGGCAUGAAAGCCAUAGGAUGGGUAACAGCGCCUAUCGUCUCUGAGCUUUUCAAGAAAUGCGCCAACUACCUGAGCUUUCACGCGUCAGAGAAGUUACGACAGCUUGGUCCAAAAGUUUUGCUGAUCGAGAGGGCUAUGGAGGUAUUUGAGGAGUUCCCCAACAGGUCUCGUGUGAAGCAGCUCUUCAACGAUCUUAAGAAUGCUUUCUAUGAAGCCGAAGACAUCUUGGAUGACAUUGAGUAUCAUUGUCUCGAGAAAAAGAUCCAAGAUGACAAGUUCAAAUCAGAUGGCAUAAGAGAUGCUGGCUGA